RNAcentral lists this ribosomal RNA (377 nucleotides) under uncultured marine eukaryote. RNAcentral's name for it is "SSU rRNA". It matches the Rfam family "Eukaryotic small subunit ribosomal RNA", at positions 880 to 1257 of the family's 1831-position model. The record is from RNAcentral.
AGUUGGGGGCAUCAGUAUUCUGGAGCGAGAGGUGAAAUUCUUGGACCUUCGGAAGACUAACAACUGCGAAAGCAUUUGCCUAGGAUGUUCUCUUUAAUCAAGAACGAAAGUUGGGGGAUCGAAGACGAUCAGAUACCGUCGUAGUCUCAACUAUAAACUAUGCCAGCUAGGGAUUGGUGGACGUUUAUUUGCGACUCCAUCAGCACCUUAUGAGAAAUCAAAGCAUUUGGGUUCCGGGGGGAGUAUGGUCGCAAGGCUGAAACUUAAAGGAAUUGACGGGAGGGCACCACCAGGAGUGGAGCCUGUGGCUUAAUUUGACUCAACACGGGAAAACUUACCAGGUCCGGACAUAGUAAGGAUUGACAGAUUGAUAGCUC